UGCGUAGGCGGAUUGAUAAGUCAGUGGUGAAAACCUUCAGCUUAACUGGAGACUUGCCAUUGAUACUGUUAGUCUUGAGUACGGUCAAGGUAGGCGGAAUGUGUAAUGUAGCGGUGAAAUGCUUAGAUAUUACACAGAACACCGAUUGCGAAGGCAGCUUACUGGGCCAUUACUGACGCUGAGGCACGAAAGCGUGGGGAGCGAACAGGAUUAGAUACCCUGGUAGGUCC
RNAcentral lists this ribosomal RNA (230 nucleotides) under uncultured bacterium. RNAcentral describes it as "partial 16S ribosomal RNA". It matches the Rfam family "Bacterial small subunit ribosomal RNA", at positions 568 to 796 of the family's 1533-position model. The record is from RNAcentral.